UGAACAGUCGCUUUACAAAGCCGGACUUAUUUGCCCAGGAGUGGGAGUGAUUGAAGUAGGUUCCUUACUUCACUUUUAACAUGAAAUUAAAAUAUUUUUGAAAUUGGUCAAAGGAGACCCGAGAAAAAAACCGAUUCAAAUGUUCUCCUCAGAUAGUCACUAAACAAAGUCUUUGGCAUUUGCCCAGUACUGGGAGUGGUCAAAGUAGGUUCUUUACUUCACUCUUAACAUGAAAUCAAAAUAUUUUUGAAAUCAGUCCUUGGGGUCCGGAGAAAACCCGGUUCUAAUAUUCCACAUGAACAGUCACUUUACAAAGCCUGUCUUAUUUACCCAGUAGUGGGAGUGAUUGAAAUAGGUUCCUUAAUUCACUUUUAACAUGAAAUUAAAAUAUUUUUGAAAUCGGUCAAAGGAGACCCGAGAAAAAAACCGAUUCAAAUGUUCUCCUCAGAUAGUCACUUAAAAAAGUCUUUGGCAUUUGCCCAGUACUGGGAGUGGUCAAAGUAGGUUCUUUACUUCACUCUUAACAUGAAAUCAAAAUAUUUUUGAAAUCAGUCCUUGGGGUCCGGAGAAAACCCGGUUCUAAUAUUCCACAUGAACAGUCGCUUUACAAAGCCUGACUUAUUUGCCCAGGAGUGGGAGUGAUUGAAGUAGGUUCCUUACUUCACUUUUAACAUGAAAUUAAAAUAUUUUUGAAAUCGGUCAAAGGAGACCCGAGAAAAAAACCGAUUCAAAUGUUCUCCUCAGAUAGUCACUUAACAAAGUCUUUGGCAUUUGCCCAGUACUGGGAGUGGUCAAAGUAGGUUCUUUACUUCACUCUUAACAUGAAAUCAAAAUAUUUUUGAAAUCAGUCCUUGGGGUCCGGAGAAAACCCGGUUCUAAUAUUCCACAUGAACAGUCGCUUUACAAAGCCUGACUUAUUUGCCCAGGAGUGGGAGUGAUUGAAGUAGGUUCCUUACUUCACUUUUAACAUGAAAUUAAAAUAUUUUUGAAAUCGGUCAAAGGAGACCCGAGAAAAAAACUGAUUCAAAUGUUCUCCUCAGAUAGUCACUUAACAAAGUCUUUGGCAUUUGCCCAGUACUGGGAGUUGUCAAAGUAGGUUCUUUACUUCACUCUUAACAUGAAAUCAAAAUAUUUUUGAAAUCAGUCCUUGGGGUCCGGAGAAAACCCGGUUCUAAUAUUCCACAUGAACAGUCUCUUUACAAAGCCUGACUUAUUUGCCCAGGAGUGGGAGUGAUUGAAGUAGGUUCCUUACUUCACUUUUAACAUGAAAUUAAAAUAUUUUUGAAAUUGGUCAAAGGAGACCCGAGAAAAAAACCGAUUCAAAUGUUCUCCUCAGAUAGUCACUUAACAAAGUCUUUGGCAUUUGCCCAGUACUGGGAGUGGUCAAAGUAGGUUCUUUACUUCACUCUUAACAUGAAAUCAAAAUAUUUUUGAAAUCAGUCCUUGGGGUCCGGAGAAAACCCGGUUCUAAUAUUCCACAUGAACAGUCGCUUUACAAAGCCUGACUUAUUUGCCCAGGAGUGGGAGUGAUUGAAGUAGGUUCCUUACUUCACUUUUAACAUGAAAUUAAAAUAUUUUUGAAAUCGGUCAAAGGAGACCCGAGAAAAAAAACCGAUUCAAAUGUUCUCCUCAGAUAGUCACUUAACAAAGUCUUUGGCAUUUGCCCAGUAGUGGGAGUGGUCAAAAUAGGUUCUUUACUUCACUCUUAACAUGAAAUCCAAAUAUUUUUGAAAUCGGUCCCUGGGGUCCGGAGAAAAACCGGUUCUAAUAUUCCACAUGAACAGUCGCUUUACAAAGCCUGUCUUAUUUGCCCAGUAUUGGGAGUGAUUGGAAUAGGUUCCUUACUUCACUUUUAACAUGAAAUUAAAAUAUUUUUGAAAUCUGUCCCAGGGGUCCCGAGAAAAACCGUUUCAAAUGUUCUCCUUAGAUAGUCACUUAACAAAGUCUUUGGCAUUUGCCCAGUAGUGGGAGUGGUCAAAGUAGGUUCUUUUGCUUCACUCUUAACAUGAAAUUAAAAUAUUUUUGAAAUCGGUCCCUGGGGUCCGGGUGAAAAACCGGUUCAAAUAUUCUCCAUGAAGAGUCACUUUACAAGGCCUGAGCCAUUUGCCUAGUAGUGGGAGUGAUUGAAAUAGGUUCUUUACUUCACACAUGAAAUUAAAAUAUUUUUGAAAUCGGUCCCAGGGGUCCCGAGGAAAACCGGUUUAAAUGUUCUCCUUAGAUAUUCACUUAACAAAGUCUUUGGCAUUUGCCCAGUAGUGGGAGUGGUCAAAAUAGGUUCUUUACUUCACUCUUAACAUGAAAUCCAAAUAUUUUUGAAAUCGGUCCCUGGGGUCCGGAGAAAAACCGGUUCUAAUAUUCCACAUGAACAGUCGCUUUACAAAGCCUGACUUAUUUGCCCAGGAGUGGGAGUGAUUGAAGUAGGUUCCUUACUUCACUUUUAACAUGAAAUUAAAAUAUUUUUGAAAUCGGUCAAAGGAGACCCGAGAAAAAAACCGAUUCAAAUGUUCUCCUCAGAUAGUCACUUAACAAAGUCUUUGGCAUUUGCCCAGUACUGGGAGUGGUCAAAGUAGGUUCUUUACUUCACUCUUAACAUGAAAUCAAAAUAUUUUUGAAAUCAGUCAUUGGGGUCCGGAGAAAACCCGGUUCUAAUAUUCCACAUGAACAGUCACUCUACAAAGCCUGUCUUAUUUACCCAGUAGUGGGAGUGAUUGAAAUAGGUUCCUUAAUUCACUUUUAACAUGAAAUUAAAAUAUUUUUGAAAUCGGUCAAAGGAGACCCGAGAAAAAAACUGAUUCAAAUGUUCUCCUCAGAUAGUCACUUAACAAAGUCUUUGGCAUUUGCCCAGUACUGGGAGUGGUCAAAGUAGGUUCUUUACUUCACUCUUAACAUGAAACCCAAAUAUUUUUGAAAUCGGUCCCUGGGGUCCGGAGAAAAACCGGUUCUAAUGUUCCACAUGAACAGUCGCUUUACAAAGCCUGUCUUAUUUACCCAGUAGUGGGAGUGAUUGAAAUAGGUUCCUUAAUUCACUCUUAACAUGAAAUCAAAAUAUUUUUGAAAUCAGUCCUUGGGGGCCGGAGAAAACCCGGUUCUAAUAUUCCACAUGAACAGUCGCUUUACAAAGCCUGACUUAUUUGCCCAGGAGUGGGAGUGAUUGAAGUAGGUUCCUUACUUCACUUUUAACAUGAAAUUAAAAUAUUUUUGAAAUCGGUCCCAGGGGUCCCGAGAAAAACUGUUUCAAAUGUUCUCCUUAGAUAGUCACUUAACAAAGUCUUUGGCAUUUGCCCAGUAGUGGGAGUGGUCAAAAUAGGUUCUUUACUUCACUCUUAACAUGAAAUCCAAAUAUUUUUGAAAUCGGUCCCUGGGGUCCGGAGAAAAACCGGUUCUAAUGUUCCACAUGAACAGUCGCUUUACAAAGCCUGUCUUAUUUACCCAGUAGUGGGAGUGAUUGAAAUAGGUUCCUUACUUCACUUUUAACAUGAAAUUAAAAUAUUUUUGAAAUCGGUCAAAGGAGACCCGAGAAAAAAAACCGAUUCAAAUGUUCUCCUCAGAUAGUCACUUAACAAAGUCUUUGGCAUUUGCCCAGUAGUGGGAGUGGUCAAAAUAGGUUCUUUACUUCACUCUUAACAUGAAAUCCAAAUAUUUUUGAAAUCGGUCCCUGGGGUCCGGAGAAAAACCGGUUCUAAUAUUCCACAUGAACAGUCGCUUUACAAAGCCUGUCUUAUUUGCCCAGUAUUGGGAGUGAUUGGAAUAGGUUCCUUACUUCACUUUUAACAUGAAAUUAAAAUAUUUUUGAAAUCGGUCAAAGGAGACCCGAGAAAAAAACCGAUUCAAAUGUUCUCCUCAGAUAGUCACUUAACAAAGUCUUUGGCAUUUGCCCAGUAGUGGGAGUGGUCAAAGUAGGUUCUUUACUUCACUCUUAACAUGAAAUCAAAAUAUUUUUGAAAUCAGUCCUUGGGGUCCGGAGAAAACCCGGUUCUAAUAUUCCACAUGAACAGUCGCUUUACAAAGCCUGACUUAUUUGCCCAGGAGUGGGAGUGAUUGAAGUAGGUUCCUUACUUCACUUUUAACAUGAAAUUAAAAUAUUUUUAAAACGGUCAAAGGAGACCCGAGAAAAAAACCGAUUCAAAUGUUCUCCUCAGAUAGUCACUUAACAAAGUCUUUGGCAUUUGCCCAGUACUGGGAGUGGUCAAAGUAGGUUCUUUACUUCACUCUUAACAUGAAAUCAAAAUAUUUUUGAAAUCAGUCCUUGGGGUCCGGAGAAAACCCGGUUCUAAUAUU
Molecule: long non-coding RNA, 4278 nt
Organism: Helicoverpa armigera (cotton bollworm)
Lineage: Eukaryota; Metazoa; Arthropoda; Insecta; Lepidoptera; Noctuidae
Exons: 4
Source: RefSeq, a predicted model, not a curated record